RNAcentral lists this ribosomal RNA (497 nucleotides) under uncultured bacterium. RNAcentral describes it as "partial 16S ribosomal RNA". It matches the Rfam family "Bacterial small subunit ribosomal RNA", at positions 28 to 507 of the family's 1533-position model. The record is from RNAcentral.
GAUGAACGCUGGCGGCGUGCCUAAUACAUGCAAGUCGAGCGAACAGACGAGGAGCUUGCUCCUCUGACGUUAGCGGCGGACGGGUGAGUAACACGUGGAUAACCUACCUAUAAGACUGGGAUAACUUCGGGAAACCGGAGCUAAUACCGGAUAAUAUAUUGAACCGCAUGGUUCAAUAGUGAAAGACGGUUUUGCUGUCACUUAUAGAUGGAUCCGCGCCGCAUUAGCUAGUUGGUAAGGUAACGGCUUACCAGGGCGACGAUGCGUAGCCGACCUGAGAGGAUGAUCGGCCACACUGGAACUGAGACACGGUCCAGACUCCUACGGGAGGCAGCAGUAGGGAAUCUUCCGCAAUGGGCGAAAGCCUGACGGAGCAACGCCGCGUGAGUGAUGAAGGUCUUCGGAUCGUAAAACUCUGUUAUUAGGGAAGAACAAAUGUGUAAGUAACUAUGCACGUCUUGACGGUACCUAAUCAGAAAGCCACGGCUAACUACGUG